GAUGAACGCUGGCGGCGUGCCUAAUACAUGCGAGUCGAGCGAACGGACGAGAAGCUUGCUUCUCUGAUGUUAGCGGCGGACGGGUGAGUAACACGUGGAUAACCUACCUAUAAGACUGGGAUAACUUCGGGAAACCGUAGCUAAUACCGGAUAAUAUUUUGAACCGCAUGGUUCAAAAGUGAAAGACGGUCUUGCUGUCACUUAUAGAUGGAUCCGCGCUGCAUUAGCUAGUUGGUAAGGUAACGGCUUACCAAGGCAACGAUGCAUAGCCGACCUGAGAGGGUGAUCGGCCACACUGGAACUGAGACACGGUCCAGACUCCUACGGGAGGCAGCAGUAGGGAAUCUUCCGCAAUGGGCGAAAGCCUGACGGAGCAACGCCGCGUGAGUGAUGAAGGUCUUCGGAUCGUAAAACUCUGUUAUUAGGGAAGAACAUAUGUGUAAGUAACUGUGCACAUCUUGACGGUUCCUAAUCAGAAAGCCACGGCUAACUACGUG
Molecule: ribosomal RNA, 497 nt
Filed under: uncultured bacterium
Lineage: Bacteria
Description: partial 16S ribosomal RNA
Rfam family: Bacterial small subunit ribosomal RNA
Source: RNAcentral